UGCGACUGGUGAGUACGCA
Regulatory RNA element from Rhodotorula toruloides ATCC 204091, 19 nucleotides. It matches the Rfam family "Human immunodeficiency virus type 1 major splice donor". The record is from Rfam. NCBI's taxonomy places the organism in Eukaryota, Fungi, Basidiomycota, Microbotryomycetes, Sporidiobolales, Sporidiobolaceae.